CUAUUUACUGUGACUUNCAGAAUUCAGUGAAUCAUCGACUCUUUGAACGCACCUUGCG
This 58-nucleotide ribosomal RNA is filed under the name uncultured Clavariaceae. Its description in RNAcentral is "partial 5.8S ribosomal RNA". The record is from RNAcentral. Lineage: Eukaryota; Fungi; Basidiomycota; Agaricomycetes; Agaricales; Clavariaceae.